Molecule: ribosomal RNA, 200 nt
Filed under: uncultured bacterium
Lineage: Bacteria
Description: partial 16S ribosomal RNA
Rfam family: Bacterial small subunit ribosomal RNA
Source: RNAcentral
GAUGAACGCUAGCUGGAGGCUUAAUACAUGCAAGUCGAGCGGGAUUCACCAGCAAUGGUGAUGAGAGCGGCGCACGGGUGAGUAACGCGUACACGACCUACCUCUAACAGGGGGAUAGCCCUGGGAAACCGGGAUUAAUACCGCAUAUAAUUCUGAUUUUAAAAGGUUGGAAUGAAAGUUCAGGCGGUUAGAGAUGGGUG